GACGAACGCUGGCGGCGUGCCUAAUACAUGCAAGUAGAACGCUGAAGGAGGAGCUUGCUCUUCUGGAUGAGUUGCGAACGGGUGAGUAACGCGUAGGUAACCUGCCUGGUAGCGGGGGAUAACUAUUGGAAACGAUAGCUAAUACCGCAUAAGAGUAGAUGUUGCAUGACAUUUACUUAAAAGGUGCAAUUGCAUCACUACCAGAUGGACCUGCGUUGUAUUAGCUAGUUGGUGGGGUAACGGCUUACCAAGGCGACGAUACAUAGCCGACCUGAGAGGGUGAUCGGCCACACUGGGACUGAGACACGGCCCAGACUCCUACGGGAGGCAGCAGUAGGGAAUCUUCGGCAAUGGACGGAAGUCUGACCGAGCAACGCCGCGUGAGUGAAGAAGGUUUUCGGAUCGUAAAGCUCUGUUGUAAGAGAAGAACGAGUGUGAGAGUGGAAAGUGCACACUGGGACGGUAUCUUACCAGAAAGGGACGGCGAACUACGU
RNAcentral lists this ribosomal RNA (494 nucleotides) under uncultured bacterium. RNAcentral describes it as "partial 16S ribosomal RNA". It matches the Rfam family "Bacterial small subunit ribosomal RNA", at positions 28 to 506 of the family's 1533-position model. The record is from RNAcentral.